Asterias rubens (European starfish) is the source of this 2089-nucleotide long non-coding RNA. RefSeq lists it as uncharacterized. The record is from RefSeq and is a predicted model, not a curated record. The transcript has 4 exons. Lineage: Eukaryota; Metazoa; Echinodermata; Asteroidea; Forcipulatida; Asteriidae.
CCACGUGACGCGCUCUCCACCGACAGGAAAAGCGAAACUGUCUGAGGUAUUUAUGAAUGCCAGAUUAAUACCAACAACUCGUGGACAUGACAAGGUAUUGCACCAGCACUGGAUCCUGAUGGAUUGACAAUAUGUUUCAAGCUGUGUGUGGAAAGUGCCGAAAGAGACACUACGUAACCAUCAGAAAUACAGAAGGACCAUCAUGCAGCGGCAGUGCAAGUGUGUUUUAAAUGGCGGACUGCGAAACAAAUUGCAAGUUUUUUUAGUAGGCUUGCAGCUGCUCAGAAAAGGCAUCAAGCAGGUCAAGGUCACCAUGAUGUGGACGUAGAUGCAAGUGAAGAAGACUUUCGUACUUGGGAAAGUUCAGAAAAUGAAGAAAGACUUCGCAAAUCAGUUUAUGCUGAAAUAGACAUUUCCCAUCCAAUCAUAUUUGGUGAUAUCAAUGUUUGUACUCUAAUUACACAGGGCAAAGGUAAAUCAAAACGCAUAAGUGAAUUGAAAGAUUUGUGUGAACACUUUGGAUUGAAAGUUGAAGGACCUGAAACGCGCAAAGAAAGUUUCAUCAAAGUACUGAACAGCCAUGUUGGUCAAUGUACCAGCAAAGGUGGCUCCGAAGACGAGACAUAAUCAUCAUAUUAUGCCUUUCACAAUGUAACUAAAUAUAUGUAAAAAAUUAAAAAGUGCACUUAUGUUAUCAUUUUUAACACUGGUUAUCAUUAUGACUAUUAGCAAGGUCCAAAAUACAAAAGGCUUGUAAUUAAUAGAGUACAGUGUAUUAUCAAAAAUAAUUGUUUUAUAUUUUGUUUGCAAGGUAAAUCAUGAAUCAGAAACAUAAAAAAGGUAUAACAGGUCAAACUGAUUUACAUACGUAUGUCCCAAAAGUGUUAUAGAUCACGCUAUUACAACUGCUAUUACAACUGCAACUGUUUCUGAUAGCGCCAAUAUACCAUUGCAUGCAUUCACUGACUUGUGAAUGUGAUAGGAGAAUAGGUUCUCCCUUAAGUAAAAACAAAAAAGAACACUAAUAAUUUAUAAAUGUCACGUGCAUUUGUCAUUACUAUAAUUUGUUGACUUAAAAAAUGGCCCUGAACGUUUUUCUUGAACAUGCAAUUAAAUUGCUAUAAAACAAUUAUUUUGUUGAUGCUGUACUCGGUGGCCCAAUCUUUAGCUAAUAUUAUUUGUUAAAUAAAGAUUGUUUUUCUCAUGAUAAAGUCUACCGCCCACAGCCUCGCUUUGACCCUUAAAGUAUGACGUCAGCAUAAAUAUUAAGGAGGGCGUAUUGUGCACAAUUAGAUAAACCACGUGGUUGGGAUGGUUUUAAAAAAAAACUUUCAAGGAAUGGAAUGUUCCAAAUUCAUUAAAAGUUAUUUUUCUGUAAACAGUAAAAGAACAAUGAUGCUUUGUAUCUAUUUAGUUAUUGGAACUCAAAAGUGUCAAUAAAAAGGAAGCGGUAAUUCAAUUAAACUGGAAAACACGAUUUUUUGCUUACAAAUAUAGGUAAAUAUGACCCAUGUACAAAAUUCCCUACAUGUACCUCAACAAUUUUGAAAAAACCCAAAUGUUCAACUUGAUAUCCUUCAAGUACACAACAUAACCUCUUACAAAUGUGAGUUUCAAUGUUGAACUAGCCUGAAUAAAGAAAGUACAUUGAAUUCAAAUUUCAGUAAUUUCGGAAGUUUUGAGUAAUUUAACAAAACACCAUUUUUAUGCCAUUUUAAAAAUUCACUAGCAAAAUUUCUAAACCAAACAAGCAAAUUUAAGAAAUGCAAUGUUAUUAUAGAACACUACAGACAUGACCCAAAAAUUUUAAAAAUCGGUUGAGUUUAAAGCACUUUUCUGUAAAGAUAGAAUUUAGGGUAAUUUCAGUAAAAAACACUAUUUUCUUUGCAUUGGAGGUGUCCAAAUUCAGGGGGGUCUGACCUAAGCUAACAGAGGGGUGCCAUUAAUUUUUUAACAUUGCCAAUGGGGAACCAUUCACCCCCCUUGAUGAUCCCCAAAAUACAAUUGAAAUUCGCCGACCUUAAUCUUUCAACUUUUUUAACAGCCUGCAUGAACCUUAAAAAAUCUGACACUUGAGACCUCAGAUUUA